This 492-nucleotide ribosomal RNA is filed under the name uncultured bacterium. RNAcentral's name for it is "partial 16S ribosomal RNA". It matches the Rfam family "Bacterial small subunit ribosomal RNA", at positions 29 to 507 of the family's 1533-position model. The record is from RNAcentral.
AGUGAACGCUGGCGGUAGGCCUAACACAUGCAAGUCGAACGGCAGCACAGUAAGAGCUUGCUCUUACGGGUGGCGAGUGGCGGACGGGUGAGGAAUACAUCGGAAUCUACUUUUUCGUGGGGGAUAACGUAGGGAAACUUACGCUAAUACCGCAUACGACCUACGGGUGAAAGCAGGGGAUCUUCGGACCUUGCGCGAUUGAAUGAGCCGAUGUCGGAUUAGCUAGUUGGCGGGGUAAAGGCCCACCAAGGCGACGAUCCGUAGCUGGUCUGAGAGGAUGAUUCGGCACACUUGAACUGAGACACGGUCCCGACUCCCACGGGAGGCAGCAGUGGGGAAUAUUGGACAAUGGGCGCAAGCCUGAUCCAGCCAUACCGCGUGGGUGAAGAAGGCCUUCGGGUUGUAAAGCCCUUUUGUUGGGAAAGAAAAGCAGCAGGUUAAUACCCCGCUGUUCUGACGGUACCCAAAGAAUAAGCACCGGCUAACUUCGUG